CGCUUGACGGCCCCCGGCCGCGUCGCGACCCCGUGGGACGCCGCACCGGUCGGUCCGGCCCUCGCGUCGCAGGCAGCCGUGACGCCUCUGCUCUGCUCUGAGGACAACAGCACGAGUCGCCGUCUCGGAAUAGUAGUCAGUCAACCCUCAUGUGCAGGUGAGUGUUCUGCUGUCGCAGCUGUAGCUCGGUCUUAAUUUAAAGCAUCUAGAUUGACCCUAGCACAACCUGAUACUAGAUUGACGAGGGCAAGUGAACCGAUUCAGACUGUUAAACACCUGCAAAAUAAUCAUAAGAGCGAUUCAGACUAACCUCGGCAUUUUGUGGCCCGGGCUGAACCGGAAUAAUCUGUUAUCUUGUGUCUUCCCUUUCUCGUUCGUCACCGGCGGCUGCCCUGUGCAUCCUCCCCGUACCCACGACUCAACGUUGGCAGCACAACGGCUUCCUCUUUCCCUUACGGUUUUGUUCCUCGCCAUUCGCCAUCCCCUCGCGAUUUCUCCUCGCCAUGCCGAGCGCAGGCGAACGGACGACGGCAGCUCUGUCUCCAACUCUGUGAUCUCCAGCCAGACCCUCCCUGAAGACGCUCUUCGUCUGCUCUCUUGGUUGCAUCCACUUCUGUUAGCACCGGCAUCGCAUUUCCCUGAGGUCGACUGGAGGGAGGGCGGCAGCACUUCAAGGACAUCUGUCCACCGCCCCCAUAAUGGAUAACAAUAAUGAGGUUGCACAUGAAAAGGAUUUGGUCUUUCAUCUUGAGGCAGCUGAAGAUAUCAAUUGAGAUGGUGAUAAUGGAUCGUCGAAUAAAAAUCCAUCAUCAAAGGUAACACAUAGGCAGCUGAAGAUAUCAGUUCACCUUGUUGUGUUUUUUUCUGAAUGAUACAUCGUUGAGCUUUCCAUAUUACUCACUGAACUUUAAUUUCAAGAAUCUCGUGGAUGGUAGUUUAUGAUGUUGCAUGAUGAUUGAAUUUUUGCCCCAGAAUUUACAUAAUAGCAAAAGUGAUUUGGAAAUGACAUAUUGUGUAUCAGACUAAUGCAUGGAACUUUGGAGUGAUUCAAGACUUGUACGAAAGUUUACACAGGCUUGUCUUCUGAAUUUGUUUCUUUACUGGAACAUAUUAUUGUAUAACAAAUUCGGUGAACAAACUUCUUUGGAUGCCAAUUACAGGCGGAUAUUGACAACUUGAGGAAGGAGAUGGCCGCUGACCUUAUUUUUGCUGAGGCAAACGAGGCUCGGGAUGUAAAAGAAGCCAUUCAAGCACUCAAGAGUCGGGAAGAGAUGAUGAUGCAGAUUCUCUAACUAUUUAGUUUAAUUAGUUUAGGUCUUAGUUCCUAUAAAAGGUUAGAGUAGUUAGAGGUUUAGUUACAAAUGCUUAGUUUACUACUACACAAAUCUAUACUGAGGCGGUUUUUUCAACCGCCUCAGAGAUAACGUCACAGUUAAUCGUAUAUUAUCUGAGGCA
Long non-coding RNA from Panicum virgatum (switchgrass), 1455 nucleotides. RefSeq lists it as uncharacterized. Lineage: Eukaryota; Viridiplantae; Streptophyta; Magnoliopsida; Poales; Poaceae. The record is from RefSeq and is a predicted model, not a curated record. The transcript is spliced from 3 exons.